UACGUAGGGUGCAAGCGUUGUUCGGAAUCAUUGGGCGUAAAGCGCGUGUAGGUUGUUAGUUAAGUCAGAUGUGAAAGCCCUCGGCUCAACCGGGGAAGUGCAUUUGAAACUAGCUGACUAGAAGACGGUAGAGGAAGGUGGAAUUCCAAGUGUAGAGGUGAAAUUCGUAGAUAUUUGGAGGAAUACCUGUGGCGAAGGCGGCCUUCUGGACCGAUCUUGACGCUGAGACGCGAAAGCGUGGGUAGCAAAC
RNAcentral lists this ribosomal RNA (250 nucleotides) under uncultured bacterium. RNAcentral's name for it is "partial 16S ribosomal RNA". It matches the Rfam family "Bacterial small subunit ribosomal RNA", at positions 524 to 773 of the family's 1533-position model. The record is from RNAcentral.